AGGGUGCCACUCCCCGGGGGUCCCUCCAGUCAGCAAAAGAAGGAGAAUCCAGCCAAGUUAAAGAUGCAAAACAGCGGUCCGUUGACCUGAUCUUUAUUUGUUGCAACAAGGUUCAAACACACCAAGAGUAGGAACCCCUGAGAAGAUGGUUGCAUGGAUUUUUAAGACCUCUCCCCAUUUCCCACAAUACAUUUUCCCAUAGCAUUUCUUUGAUGCAUCACAGAUUUGUCACAAAGUAGGAGUCUUUGGCAUUCAGAAACAUGAGCCCGUCACCCACCCCUGUCAACAACCCCAGCUUCCCACACAUUUUUAAACUACCCUCUUCCAAUAAGAACCUCUUCCAAUAAGAACCAUAUUCACAGAUCCCCCCAGCUGCAAGGCUUUCCUGGGCUUCUCCUUUGGAAGUAUCAGGAUCCUCCUCCUCCUCCUCCAAUCCGGCUUCUGUUCCGGGAAUAAGGGGGGGGGUGAGCCUCCUCCCAAACUGCUGCUUCUCCCGGAAGUGGAGCUUCGACGCCGGAUUGCCGCUCAGCGCCAUAGCUCUAGGGGCGCGCCCUUUCGGAAAGGGGAGGAGGGGCGGCAGGGGAUCCCCCCGCAAACAUCGAUGUUGCAGGAAAUGAAAUGAAAAUCGGGAACCAGGACAAAGAGGCAAUGUCAGGGUGACUGACAAGCUGAGAUACUUCCCAGUCAAAGGACCCAUUUUCAUGAUAGACAGUGCUUGUGGCUGGAGGCUCUACAGGCAUGGUGUGCCUAUGGAGGCCAAAGACUGCCAGUAUUAGCACAGGAUUUCCUUUCCUCCCACACUGAGGAGGGUCAUGGAGAAGAGAGACAGACUUCCAGGGGAAAGGGCACCUUUGUUUUCAUUAGAUAUAGAC
Molecule: non-coding RNA, 872 nt
Organism: Podarcis muralis (Common wall lizard)
Lineage: Eukaryota; Metazoa; Chordata; Lepidosauria; Squamata; Lacertidae
Source: RefSeq, a predicted model, not a curated record